This 582-nucleotide long non-coding RNA is filed under the name Equus caballus (horse). RNAcentral describes it as "lncRNA (ENSECAG00000044392.1)". Lineage: Eukaryota; Metazoa; Chordata; Mammalia; Perissodactyla; Equidae. The record is from RNAcentral.
CUGCAUUCCUCGGGCGACACUGUCCUGUUUGUCCCAGGCCUCCCAGCCUGGCUCUGACAUCUCCAUCCAGGUCUGCAGGGAGAGGAGUGCGGGGCAGCUUGUCAUGCUCGGCAAGGGAUUAGACUUGGGAACAAAGUGGUGAAUAUGAAUGCAACCGACGGCUCUGCUGACACAGCAGAUAAUGGCUUGAAGGGUGAAAACUCCAGACCAGGUCUGCGACCAGCCUUUCACAGCAGAGAGAUGGCUCUGAAGCUUGGGAGCAGCCAGGUUGUCAGCUGUCUGACGCGGCCGAUGGAUGGGAGGCGGAGGGCAAACUUCGACAGACUUCUCCCCUCCUUACUUUCCCUCAUUCUUUUUUUCUCUCCCAACAGGAGGUUGGAUGUGCUUGAGAUUUCUGCAAAAGAAGAGGGGGGAUGGGCAGCUUACAUGUGGGGGCUCUCCCGUCAUGUCUCAGUCCUGCCCUGCACAGCGGUGUCUCCUUCGGGCUUUUCCUCACUCAGGAAGAUGUUUGUUGAGUGGCUUCUACUGUCACUACUAAAAGCGGAAGGUGCCGCGGGCACCACCCUCUGAGGUGAACUGUCA